UAGGGAGACCUACCCUUGAUUACUCCGAACCAAUUUGAAAUAGGAGAAUUGAGUGGUCACUCUAGGUCGUUCAGGACUUUGAGAUUAGUUUCUAGACUAUGGUUGAGGUUUAUUUCUUAGAUUCGUUCAUUUUUGAGUGAAUCAAAAGGAACUAAACACGGGCUAUUAGCUCAGGUGGUUAGAGCGCACCCCUGAUAAGGGUGAGGUCCCUGGUUCGAGUCCAGGAUGGCCCACUUGUGGGGGUUUAGCUCAGUUGGUAGAGCGCCUGCUUUGCAAGCAGGAUGUCAGCGGUUCGAGUCCGCUAACCUCCACCACGACAGACCACGUUGAUAAUUGGGAAUCAAUUCAGCACAGUGUGUUUUGGGGUAGACCGAGGCAUAGUUUGCUGGGUGAGAGCCUAGCGAAGAACCUUGAAAACUGAAUAGAAGAGAAGUGUAAGGUAGUACACACAGAACAUUCAAAGUUCGUUGAGAGAAGAGUGAACUUGAUUAGUUUUAGAU
RNAcentral lists this transfer RNA (500 nucleotides) under Pseudanabaena sp. ULC199. Its description in RNAcentral is "partial may contain 16S ribosomal RNA, 16S-23S ribosomal RNA intergenic spacer, and 23S ribosomal RNA". The stretch from base 239 to 311 matches the Rfam family "tRNA". The record is from RNAcentral. Lineage: Bacteria; Bacillati; Cyanobacteriota; Cyanophyceae; Pseudanabaenales; Pseudanabaenaceae.